This 500-nucleotide ribosomal RNA is filed under the name uncultured bacterium. Its description in RNAcentral is "partial 16S ribosomal RNA". It matches the Rfam family "Bacterial small subunit ribosomal RNA", at positions 30 to 523 of the family's 1533-position model. The record is from RNAcentral.
AUUGAACGCUGGCGGAAUGCUUUACACAUGCAAGUCGAACGGCAGCACGGACUUCGGUCUGGUGGCGAGUGGCGAACGGGUGAGUAACAUAUCGGAACGUAUCCAAUAAUGGGGGAUAACGAGUCGAAAGAUUCGCUAAUACCGCAUACGCCCUACGGGGGAAAGCUGGGGACCUUCGGGCCUGGCGUUAAUGGAGCGGCCGAUAUCUGAUUAGCUAGUUGGUGGGGUAAAGGCUCACCAAGGCGACGAUCAGUAGCUGGUCUGAGAGGACGACCAGCCACACUGGAACUGAGACACGGUCCAGACUCCUACGGGAGGCAGCAGUGGGGAAUUUUGGACAAUGGGCGCAAGCCUGAUCCAGCCAUUCCGCGUGAGUGAAGAAGGCCUUCGGGUUGUAAAGCUCUUUCGCAAGGGAAGAAAACUUAGCCACUAACAUUGGUUGAGGUUGACGGUACCUUGAUAAGAAGCACCGGCUAACUACGUGCCAGCAGCCGCGGUAA